AUGCUUCGCCUCUCCGCCUCUUUCUCCCUCCUCGACCCUCCUUCUCUCUCCCCGUCCGUCUCCCACCUCCGCCCGCGCCGCCUACGCGCCCUCGUCGUCGCCGCCUCCGCCUCGCCUUCCGCCCGCAGCCUCCGCCUCCUCGAGUGGGGCAAGGUUUGCCGCGCCGUCGCUUCGUUCGCCGGCACCGCGCACGGCCGCGAAGCCACCGAGAAGCAGCUGUGGGGUGUGGAGAGCGUGAGCUAUGAGCGGAGCCGGAAGCUCCUCCGGGAGACUGAGGCGGCGGUGCGGCUGCUUGGCAGCUCCGGUGGGGCAUUGGAUUUCUCCGGGCUGGAUACCGUCGCGGUAGAGUCAGCAAUAAAUUGUGUCUCUGGUGGUUCCGUGAUUAAAGGUCAGGAAGCAAUGGCAGUGGUUAGCCUGAUGCUGUUCGUUGAAUCCUUGCAAGUAACUAUCAGAGCUGCUAUGAAGCAAGAUGAAGACUCGCAUAAUCUGUUACUGCCCCUUACAGAAACAAUUCUAGAUGCUGUUGUCAGUAAGCUACUAGUGAAGUCUAUACAGGAUGUCAUAGAUGAUGAUGGCUCCGUGAAAGACACUGCAAGCCCUGAGCUAAGGCGAUAUCGAGAUCAAGUUCAGGCCCUAGAGAGCAGGUUAUGCCAGCUUAUGGAUAAAUUGAUAAGGAAUGCGGACAAUGAAGCUUCCUUGUCGGAAGUAAGCAUUGUAAAUGGAAGAUGCUGCAUUAAAAUAACUGGGGAUAAGUCUUCAAGUUUUGAUGGAUUACUACUCUCCAGUGGUUCAGAUGCUGGAAGUAUGAUAGAACCAAUUAUUGCUGUUCCACUAAAUGAUGAGCUACAGGGUGCAAGAGCAUUAGUGGUUAGAGCCGAGCUUGAAGCUUUAUCGAAACUGACUGACAAGAUUCUUCUUGAGCUUGAUAAUAUUCAGAUUUUGAUGCAGGAAACAGUUACACUUGAUAAGGUCACAGCUCGUGCAAGAUACAGUAUAGCAUACGAUGGUACACUUCCUGACCUGUAUUUGCCAAACAUUGAGCAUGGAAUUGUCAAUGCGGCUAAAGAUGAGCCUGCCAGUACAACUUCCUCAGCCCAACUUACUAAGAGGCCAUGGAAACUGUUCAUUCCAAAUGCAUAUCAUCCACUAUUGCUCCAGCAGCACCAGGAAAAUUUGCGUCGUACAAAAAAGGAUGUUGCAAGUGCCACAGCGGAGAUUCGGAGGAGGAGGAUAUACGGACAAGAUAUCGCAGAGGAAGAUCAACUGGCUUCAGAACUUGAUUUCAUGAAAAUUAGGGUUUCUGAGCUCGAGAGGAACCAUCCGAUCCCAGUAGAUUUUAUGAUCGCUGAAGAGACUACUGUUUUGGUCAUAACUGGGCCAAAUACUGGGGGGAAAACAAUCAGCUUGAAGACGGUUGGGCUGGCAUCGUUAAUGGCCAAGAUAGGUCUAUACAUUCUAGCUUCUGAACCAGUUAAAAUUCCAUGGUUCGAUGCUGUUUAUGCUGACAUUGGAGAUGAGCAAUCUUUGACCCAAUCACUCUCAACAUUCUCUGGGCAUCUGAAGCAGAUUGGGGCUAUUCGCGCUCAGUCAACUUCACAAUCCUUGGUCCUUUUGGAUGAAGUUGGUGCUGGGACAAAUCCACUCGAAGGAGCUGCUUUGGGGAUGUCUCUCUUGGGGUCUUUUGCUGAAGCUGGUUCCUUUCUGACUCUAGCUACAACUCAUCACGGAGAACUAAAAACACUGAAAUACAGCAAUGAUUCAUUUGAGAAUGCAUGCGUGGAAUUUGAUGAAGAGAAUCUAAAGCCUACGUUCAGGAUACUUUGGGGAAUACCAGGGCGUUCAAAUGCAAUCAAUAUUGCUGAAAGGCUAGGUUUGCCCUUGGAUAUUAUAGAAAGUUCUCGGCACUUGCUUGGAACAGCUGGUGCAGAGAUAAAUGCGUUGAUUAUGGACAUGGAAAAAUUCAAGCAAGAAUACCAUGAACAACUUCAGCAGGCACAACAUUAUCUUAUGCAGUCCAAGGAGCUUCAUAAUGACUUGGAAGUGGCACAGAAGAGCAUUGUUGAUCACGGCAUCGCUCAGAGAAAAAGAAAGUCAAGAGUAGUUUCGGAGUAUGCUGUUAUGGCUCGUUCGAUCAUUCAUAAGAAGUUCCAGCAGUACAGAGAAUCUGCAGUAGCUCAAAGAGUGCUAGAAGAAGAGAAGGCUGCGGAGAAAGCCAAAUCUGAGGGUGCGAAAGGCCCCGAGCCAGCUAGCACUUCUGCCCCUAAAAAGACGCAGAAUACAAAUAGCAGCAUGGUCACAGAAGCUAAUGGCAAGAUAAUAGAUGAAAAUGGUGGGAUUCCAGAAGUUGGGGAUUUAGUUUACGUUCCUAAACUCAAGAACCAAGCGACCGUGGUCAAAAUAGAUUCGUCCAAAAAUGAAGUGCAAGUCCAAGCUGGCAUGAUGAAGCUCAAGCUAAAGUUGAAAGAUGUCAAGGUCCAGAAGCAGAGGACAUCAAGAUAA
Molecule: ribosomal RNA, 2499 nt
Filed under: Triticum aestivum (bread wheat)
Lineage: Eukaryota; Viridiplantae; Streptophyta; Magnoliopsida; Poales; Poaceae
Description: partial small subunit ribosomal RNA
Source: RNAcentral